GCAAUAGAUAUACAACCCCAAAAGAGUUCUAUUUACAUCCUCAAAAGAAGUUAUCCAGACUACUACAUUAUCCUAUGCUAGUAUUCAAAAGUAGAAAGUAGACCGAAAGAGGGGUCCUUAUACAGAUCACCAAAACAAGAAGAAACAUCUUAGUUGUCCGGCUAUUACAAACCAAGCCUAACUAUUCUAGUGAUAGUGUCAAAAGUUCCCCGCAUCGGCCCCUGUUAAGGAAAACAAAGGCAAUGGGGUAAGCUAUAUGCUUAGUAAGUAUACGGGUAAAAACAUAAAUUUUACAUUAAGACGGGCAAUUACGUCACAAAGAUGUCCAAUCGAAAAUAUAAAAGUAAUAACACAAGUUAAGGAUACAGGUUGGCUCCAAAACCACGUCAUGUGCCAUGUGUGACCUCCUGCCGACACUCCGUCGACCACCGGUAAGGGUCCGUAGAACUCUACUUGUACUCUCACCUAACACCAUAUCACCAUCACUGGCCAGUCACCUCACGAAAUGGCUCGAGCAAACGAAAUGAAAUUGAACUUGACACACAAGCUCGGUUCAAAAAAUUGGUUUACAAAACCACAAACUUGGUGACCUUAAGACUAGGUUGGACUGGUUUCGACCAAGCCCCGGCCGGCUCAAAUAGUCCGUCUAGGUCUUGAGAUCGGGCCCCACAAAAGUCACCCCGAACUACAAGUUCAAGGGUUCAACACCAAAAUAAUUCAUAUAUACACAUCUCAUAAAGAAGCACAGGUGCAAAGUAGGGUUUAGGUUGAGUGUGAUCAAGUACACCCUUGCCUAAGUACCCUCUCAUCCACACCAAAGCACAUAAACAAGUUAUACACAAAAAAGGGCCUGAAUACUGACACAGAGAGAAGGUAUAGCAAAAGUUCAAAAAUCACGUCACGUAACAGCUAGUAGGCCCCACUGGUACCGUCUAACCCGUCACUGUCUGAAAUAAAAGAUUGCACCACAUUACUACACAAACGACUACUAAAAUGCAUAAAUUAAGCAAAACGGCAAAAAGGGCACAUGUACGCGCGGAAACGGCAAACGAAAACGGAAAUGGCCGGCAAACGGAAACAGCAGAUUUGGCACCUAGAACUGUUUUGAUCAAAUUUCAGGCUACGGUUAUCGGAUCGAAGUGCAUGAUGCACCUUUACGAAACUAAGAAGAAGGGAUACAACUUUUAUGACGACACCUCAAGUCAGAUCUCAAUGGAACUAGGACAAAAAUGCACAAGACAGUCCCAGCGGUUUCAAUUCAGGUUACCGAGCAGGCCCUGUUUGAAUGACUAUCACUCAUAACUCAGAGAUCGGAAUCAAGAAAUUCCAGAGGCGUUGGAAAGCUCAUUUAUAAGGCUAUAACUUUUGUGUUUUGACCAAAAGCUGAAUUAGUAUAGAGCAUAGGGAAAAAUGGGUCCAAAUUUCCUGUCAGAACUGUCCAACUUCAAAGGCAGUUCUGACACCCGAUAUUGUUUUCGGUGUAAUUAGAGCUACGGAAUUCAAAUUUGGACGCAUUUUAUACCGUUUUGAAGCUGAGACAAAGAUCUACAAGUCCUACGAAGAUCUCAACACCCAGUUCCUUCGUUAUCAAUGUGAACUGAGCACGGGCAGAAGCAAAAUCAAGAAACGUAGCACAAUUCAGAGUUUAGAAUAGAAGCGAGGGUUUUGGCCAUAACUCAGGCUACACAGAUCCGUUUGCCCUGAAAUUUUGCAGGUACAACAAGAACUUAAGAAGCUACAACUUUCAUGUUUUGGGCAAAUCCUGAAUCAGUAUGUAGCACAAACAAAAAUGUACCCAAAAUUCAGAUUCUGGCUGCCUUGUUUUCCAGUUUAACCGGUUUUGCACGUCGCAAACGCAUUGUCCGUUGCUAUGGUUCUCAUGCAAGUUUUCUAACCAACUUCUACAGGUUUUUAUAGCUAAACGUGACAUAAUAUCAGAAACCAGAGGUAACACUUCCAUGCAUCUUCCUAUCAGAAUUUAGUUCAAAGUUCUUACAGCCUGCAUCAGUCCAGAAUUAUUCGAGCUUUAGAUCAGAAAUUUCCCUCAGUUGAAGCUCAACUUACAGGUUAAACAUAUACUCAGGACAUAUGAAUGUUAUUCACGAUCUUACCUCUAGUCCUAAGCUUUAGAAAUUGCAGCCGAAAUCAGUUCCUUUCCAGCUUCUCCUGCCUUCCUUACUGUAUUUUCCUUAUCUUUGGUUGUUUG
This 2206-nucleotide long non-coding RNA is filed under the name Coffea arabica (coffee). Its description in RNAcentral is "long non-coding RNA (CARA_LNC005365)". Lineage: Eukaryota; Viridiplantae; Streptophyta; Magnoliopsida; Gentianales; Rubiaceae. The record is from RNAcentral.